GAUAAACGCUGGCGGUGUACAUAAGACAUGCAAGUCGAACGGGAGAAGACAGGAAGAUUUAUCUACUUGUUGGACACCGUGGCGGACGGGUGAGUAACACGUAAGCAACCUGCCUAUAAGAGGGGAAUAACAGUGAGAAAUUACUGAUAAUACCGCAUAAGCUGGAGGUAUCGCAUGAUACAUUCAGAAAAGAUUUAUCGCUUAUAGAUGGGCUUGCGUCUGAUUAGCUAGUUGGUGAGAUAACAGCUCACCAAGGCGACGAUCAGUAGCCGGAUUGAGAGGUUGAACGGCCACAUUGGGACUGAGACACGGCCCAGACUCCUACGGGAGGCAGCAGUCGGGAAUAUUGCACAAUGGAGGAAACUCUGAUGCAGUGACACCGCGUAUAGGAAGAAGGUCUUAGGAUUGUAAGCUAUUGUCGUGUGAGAAGAAAAUGACCAUCACAGGA
Molecule: ribosomal RNA, 448 nt
Filed under: Clostridiales bacterium oral taxon 075
Lineage: Bacteria; Bacillati; Bacillota; Clostridia; Eubacteriales
Description: bacterial SSU rRNA
Rfam family: Bacterial small subunit ribosomal RNA
Source: RNAcentral